This is a non-coding RNA of Lolium perenne, 383 nucleotides long. The record is from RefSeq and is a predicted model, not a curated record. Lineage: Eukaryota; Viridiplantae; Streptophyta; Magnoliopsida; Poales; Poaceae.
AGGCGUGCAGCAGCCAAUGAAUCAUUUGAUGAUGGAGUAGUCACUUGAGCAUUCAAUAAAACACUUGAUGUUGUAGGAGUCGCUUGAGCAUUCAACAAUCGUUCUUUCACAUCCUUGCUCUUUCAAAAUGCUGGAAGAAUAGGACAAUAUCCAAAUCUGACUUCAAAUGAUGCUUCAAGUCAUUAUUGAGACUCUCACUUAGUUGUGUGCUCCUCAUACCCAAGGAACAAGAAAUUGUGAGAAGAGGAGAAGGAAAAAGUGUGGUAGCAGCAAAAUAAGUGGUCCUAUCGUGGCGCCAAACUGAGCAAAGGCAGUGGUCCUAUUUUGGCGCCAAACUGGGCAGCUGCACCGCAUGUUCCCUCCAAAACAGAGCAGCAGCACGA